GGGGCAUUGGCGCAGUUGGGAGCGCGCCUGAAUGGCAUUCAGGAGGUCAGGGGUUCAAGUCCCCUAUGCUCCA
Molecule: transfer RNA, 73 nt
Filed under: Bacillota bacterium
Lineage: Bacteria; Bacillati; Bacillota
Description: tRNA-Ala
Rfam family: tRNA
About the family: Transfer RNA (tRNA) molecules are approximately 80 nucleotides in length.
Source: RNAcentral